RNAcentral lists this ribosomal RNA (418 nucleotides) under Lactiplantibacillus plantarum. RNAcentral describes it as "bacterial SSU rRNA". It matches the Rfam family "Bacterial small subunit ribosomal RNA", at positions 29 to 409 of the family's 1533-position model. The record is from RNAcentral. Lineage: Bacteria; Bacillati; Bacillota; Bacilli; Lactobacillales; Lactobacillaceae.
CCUCCCCCCCCACGAACGCUGGCGGCGUGCCUAAUACAUGCAAGUCGAACGAACUCUGGUAUUGAUUGGUGCUUGCAUCAUSAUUUACAUUUGAGUGAGUGGCGAACUSGUGAGUMACACGUGGGAAACCUGCCCAGAAGCGGGGGAUAACACCUGGAAACAGAUGCUAAUACCGCAUAACAACUUGGACCGCAUGGUCCGAGUUUGAAAGAUGGCUUCGGCUAUCACUUUUGGAUGGUCCCGCGGCGUAUUAGCUAGAUGGUGGGGUAACGGCUCACCAUGGCAAUGAUACGUAGCCGMCCUGAGAGGGUAAUCGGCCACAUUGGGACUGAGACACGGCCCAMACUCCUACGGGAGGCAGCAGUAGGGAHUCUUCCACAAUGGACGAAABUCUGAUGGAGCMCGCCGCGUGAGUGAA